CAGCCGCCGCGGUAAUACCGGCGGCCCGAGUGGCGGUCACUAUUAUUGGGCUUAAAGCGUCCGUAGCCGGGUUGGGAAGUCCUCCGGGAAAUCUGGCCGCUUAACGGUCAGAAUGCCGGAGGAUACUCCCAGCCUAGGGAGCGGGGGAGGCCGAGGGUAUUCCCGGAGUAGGGGGGAAAUCCUAUAAUCCCGGGAGGACCACCGGUGGCGAAGGCGCUCGGCGGGAACGCGUCCGACGGUGAGGGACGAAGGCCAGGGGAGCAAACCGGAUUAGAUACCCGGGUAGUCCUGGCUGUAAACGAUGCGGACUUUGUGUCGGACAAGCUAUGAGCUUGUCCGGUGCCGGAGGGAAACCGUUAAGUCCGCCGCCUGGGGAGUACGGCCGCAAGGCUGAAACUUAAAGGAAUUGGCGGG
RNAcentral lists this ribosomal RNA (414 nucleotides) under uncultured microorganism. Its description in RNAcentral is "bacterial SSU rRNA". It matches the Rfam family "Archaeal small subunit ribosomal RNA", at positions 459 to 872 of the family's 1478-position model. The record is from RNAcentral.